This 418-nucleotide unclassified non-coding RNA is filed under the name soil metagenome. RNAcentral's name for it is "partial contains 5.8S ribosomal RNA, internal transcribed spacer 2, and large subunit ribosomal RNA". The stretch from base 1 to 120 matches the Rfam family "5.8S ribosomal RNA", at positions 35 to 154 of the family's 154-position model. The record is from RNAcentral.
GAUGAAGAACGUAGCGAAAUGCGAUAAGUAAUGUGAAUUGCAGAAUUCAGUGAAUCAUCGAAUCUUUGAACGCAUCUUGCGCUCCUUGGUAUUCCUUGGAGCAUGCCUGUUUGAGUAUCAUGAGCAAAUCUCAAAGUCAAUUCCUUUUGUUGAUUCAAUUGGUUUUGCUUUGGACUUGGAGGCCUUGCAGAUUUCACAGUCUGCUCCUCUUAAAUGCAUUAGCUGGAUCUCAGUAAUUAUGCUUGGUUCCACUCGGCGUGAUAAGUAUCACUCGCUGAGGACACUGUUAAAAAGGUGGCCAGGAAGAUACUGAUUGAACCGCUUCUAACGGUCUAUUAAGUUAGACAAUUACCCUUAAGUUUGAUCUCAAAUCAGGUAGGACUACCCGCUGAACUUAAGCAUAUCAAUAAGCGGAGGA